AUGAACGCUGGCGGCGUGCUUCACACAUGCAAGUCGAACGAAGCACUUUAACCUGAUUCUUCGGAUGAAGGUUUUUGUGACUGAGUGGCGGACGGGUGAGUAACGCGUGGGUAACCUGCCUCAUACAGGGGGAUAACAGUUAGAAAUGACUGCUAAUACCGCAUAAGACCACAGAGCCGCAUGGCUCGGUGGGAAAAACUCCGGUGGUAUGAGAUGGACCCGCGUCUGAUUAGGUAGUUGGUGGGGUAACGGCCUACCAAGCCAACGAUCAGUAGCCGACCUGAGAGGGUGACCGGCCACAUUGGGACUGAGACACGGCCCAAACUCCUACGGGAGGCAGCAGUGGGGAAUAUUGCACAAUGGGGGAAACCCUGAUGCAGCGACGCCGCGUGAGCGAAGAAGUAUUUCGGUAUGUAAAGCUCUAUCAGCAGGGAAGAAAAUGACGGUACCUGACGAAGAAGCACCGGCUAAAUACGUG
Molecule: ribosomal RNA, 478 nt
Filed under: uncultured bacterium
Lineage: Bacteria
Description: partial 16S ribosomal RNA
Rfam family: Bacterial small subunit ribosomal RNA
Source: RNAcentral